GACGAACGCUGGCGGCGUGCUUAACACAUGCAAGUCGAACGAUGAAGCAAAGAAUUGAAGCUUCGGCAGAAAUUCAUUUCGGAUUAGUGGCAGACGGGUGAGUAACGCGUGAGCAACCUACCUCUUACAAAGGGAUAGCCUCGGGAAACCGGGAUUAAUACCAUAUAACAUUGCGACGAAGCAUUUCGAUGCAAUCAAAGCUACGGCGGUAAGAGAUGGGCUCGCGUCCCAUUAACCAGAUGGUGAGGUAACGGCUCACCAUAGUAACGAUGGGUAACCGGCCUGAGAGGGUGAACGGUCACACUGGAACUAAGACACGGUCCAGACUCCUACGGGAGGCAGCAGUGGGGAAUAUUGCACAAUGGAGGGAACUCUGAUGCAGCGACGCCGCGUGAGUGAUGAAGGAAUUCGUUUCGUAAAACUCUGUUCUAUGGGAAGAAAAGGACUGUACCAUAGGAGAAAGCUCCGGCUAAAUACGUG
RNAcentral lists this ribosomal RNA (480 nucleotides) under uncultured bacterium. RNAcentral's name for it is "partial 16S ribosomal RNA". It matches the Rfam family "Bacterial small subunit ribosomal RNA", at positions 28 to 507 of the family's 1533-position model. The record is from RNAcentral.